RNAcentral lists this ribosomal RNA (477 nucleotides) under uncultured anaerobic ammonium-oxidizing bacterium. Its description in RNAcentral is "bacterial SSU rRNA". It matches the Rfam family "Bacterial small subunit ribosomal RNA", at positions 365 to 832 of the family's 1533-position model. The record is from RNAcentral.
UUCGCAAUGCCCGAAAGGGUGACGAAGCGACGCCGCGUGCGGGAAGAAGGCCUUCGGGUUGUAAACCGCUGUCGGGAGUUAGGAAAUGCAAGGAUGUUAAUAGCAUCUUUGCUUGACUAAGGCUCCGGAGGAAGCCACGGCUAACUCUGUGCCAGCAGCCGCGGUAAUACAGAGGCGGCAAGCGUUGUUCGGAAUUAUUGGGCGUAAAGAGCACGUAGGCGGCCGUGUAAGUCGGUUGUGAAAGCCUUCCGCUCAACGGGAGAACGGCAUCCGAUACUGCAUGGCUCGAGUGCGGGAGGGGAGAGUGGAACUUCUGGUGGAGCGGUGAAAUGCGUAGAUAUCAGAAGGAACGUCGGCGGCGAAAGCGACUCUCUGGCCUAUUACUGACACUGAGUGUGCGAAAGUUAGGGGAGCAAACGGGAUUAGAUACCCCGGUAGUCCUAACUGUAAACGAUGGGCACUAAGUAGAGGGGUUUU